CGUGUAGGCGGCUUCGUGUGUCCCAUGUGAAAGCCCUCGGCUCAACCGGGGAACUGCAUGGGAAACUGCGGAGCUUGAGUCCGGGAGAGGAGAGCGGAAUUCCCAGUGUAGCGGUGAAAUGCGUAGAUAUUGGGAGGAACACCGGUGGCGAAGGCGGCUCUCUGGACCGGUACUGACGCUGAGACGCGAAAGCCGAGGGGAGCGAAACG
This 209-nucleotide ribosomal RNA is filed under the name uncultured bacterium. RNAcentral's name for it is "partial 16S ribosomal RNA". It matches the Rfam family "Bacterial small subunit ribosomal RNA", at positions 568 to 775 of the family's 1533-position model. The record is from RNAcentral.